Molecule: small RNA, 886 nt
Filed under: Pongo abelii (Sumatran orangutan)
Lineage: Eukaryota; Metazoa; Chordata; Mammalia; Primates; Hominidae
Description: processed transcript
Source: RNAcentral
CCGGCGGAGCGGGCGGGAGUCGGAGAGCCCCCGGAGCCGGGCGGGCGUCCCGAGCCGGGCCCGCGGGGCUUCGUCCCGCAGAAGGAGAUCGUCUACAACAAGCUGCUGCCCUACGCCGAGCGGCUAGACGCCGAGUCCGACUUGCAGCUGGCCCAGAUCAAAUGCAACCUGGGCCGGGCCGUGCAGCUCCAAGAGCUGUGGCCCGGGGGCCUCUUCUGGACCAGGAAACUCUCCACAUAUAUUCGACUUUAUGGGAGAAAAUUUAGCAAAGAAGAUCAUGUUCUUUUUAUUAAGUUAUUGUAUGAGCUGGUAUCAAUUCCAAAACUGGAAAUCAGCAUGAUGCAGGGAUUUGCCCGCCUUUUGAUCAACUUGUUAAAGAAAAAGGAACUUCUUUCAAGAGAUGAUUUGGAGUUACCCUGGAGACCACUUUAUGACAUGGUAGAAAGAAUAUUGUAUUCCAAGACAGAGCACCUAGGAUUAAAUUGGUUUCCUAAAAACAUUGUUCCCUUCAUCUUGAGAGAUUACAAGAAUCACAAAAGGUCACUAUACAGAUAUCACAGUUCUGUAGAAAAUAUUCUCAAAACACUCGUGAAAAGCUGCCGACCGUAUUUUCCAGCAGAUGCCACCACUGAGAUGCUAGAAGAAUGGCGACCUUUAAUGUGCCCCUUUGAUGUAACCAUGCAAAAGGCCAUCACUUACUUUGAAAUAUUUCUUCCUACCUCCCUUCCUCCAGAACUUCAUCAUAAAGGUUUUAAACUUUGGUUUGAUGAAUUAAUUGGCCUUUGGGUUUCGGUGCAAAAUCUCCCACAGUGGGAGGGGCAACUAGUAAAUCUCUUUGCUCGAUUGGCUACAGAUAAUAUAGGGUACAUAGAUUGGGAUCCAUAUG